UACGGAGGGAGCUAGCGUUGUUCGGAAUUACUGGGCGUAAAGCGCAUGUAGGCGGCUAUUCAAGUCAGAGGUGAAAGCCUGGAGCUCAACUCCAGAACUGCCUUUGAAACUAGAUAGCUUGAAUCCAGGAGAGGUGAGUGGAAUUCCGAGUGUAGAGGUGAAAUUCGUAGAUAUUCGGAAGAACACCAGUGGCGAAGGCGGCUCACUGGACUGGUAUUGACGCUGAGGUGCGAAAGCGUGGGGAGCAAACAGG
Molecule: ribosomal RNA, 253 nt
Filed under: uncultured bacterium
Lineage: Bacteria
Description: partial 16S ribosomal RNA
Rfam family: Bacterial small subunit ribosomal RNA
Source: RNAcentral